RNAcentral lists this ribosomal RNA (253 nucleotides) under uncultured bacterium. Its description in RNAcentral is "partial 16S ribosomal RNA". It matches the Rfam family "Bacterial small subunit ribosomal RNA", at positions 524 to 776 of the family's 1533-position model. The record is from RNAcentral.
UACAGAGGGGGCAAGCGUUGUUCGGAAUUACUGGGCGUAAAGGGCGCGUAGGCGGCCUCUUAAGUCGAACGUGAAAUCCCCGGGCUCAACCCGGGAACUGCGUCCGAUACUGGCUGGCUUGAAUCCGGGAGAGGGAUGCGGAAUUCCAGGUGUAGCGGUGAAAUGCGUAGAUAUCUGGAGGAACACCGGUGGCGAAGGCGGCAUCCUGGACCGGUAUUGACGCUGAGGCGCGAAAGCCAGGGGAGCAAACGGG